RNA transcript from Helianthus annuus (common sunflower), 2260 nucleotides. It is a transcript of the gene named nuclear pore complex protein NUP107, with no coding region annotated. The transcript has 16 exons. The record is from RefSeq and is a predicted model, not a curated record. Lineage: Eukaryota; Viridiplantae; Streptophyta; Magnoliopsida; Asterales; Asteraceae.
CUAAAUCCCCAUUCGUCUUCCUAACCUGUCCGAGUCUUCUUCUCUUUUCCUUAAUCAGAAACCCUAAAUCAACCACAUACAGGUCCUUCUUUUUCCAUUCAAGCUAUUUGGAUUCAACCAUCGAAUUGAUAUGUAUUUUAAUCUCAAAAUGGCACUUAAAGUGAGGAUUCAAGUCUAACACACGCGGAACCUUUUGGUCCAAUGCAACGAUUGAAAACCUUCCAUGUUCAUGUCAGAUAUAAAAUAUUCCUCUCUGCUAUAGAAUACCUGCCAUUUUUUCCCGGGGAUCUUGUAGAUAGCGGUUUCAAAAAGGGAAGCUUUGAAGAAAUUAUUGAGAGAUCACGAGAAGUCAAAGUUGGAAAAAGCUGACGUGUCAUCCGACGUGGCAGAGCAAUGCCGGUUGCAGAGUCUUGAAAAAGCUAUGGUCAUUCAGUGGCUUUGCUUUACACCUCCCUCCACCAUUAAUGAUGCUACCAGAGUUGGCUCAAAACUGCUGAACCGAGAAUUGAUGCACAGCAAUGUACUGUUCCGGGAAUUUGGUUUAAUUUCUAUGUGGAGAGUUCCAACAAUGCCAAUUGGGACCCAUACGCUGCUUAGUUUACUUGCUGAGCCUUUGAAACAUCCAUCAGAAACUUCGAUUUCCACCGAGGAUCGUGAAACUUCUGAUAGUUUGAGAGAGUUUCAUGACUGGCGUGAUAUUGCACCUCAGAUUGUUUUGGCCGGGAAAAUUUUGGGUACAAAAUAUGGGUUAGGCGCGCUCCAUAUCCUGCUCCAAAUCCUAUUAUGACCCGACUAUAUUUAUACGCAGUUAUGUAAUUUGUUUUCCAAAACCCUAGAGAACCAUCUCCGUUUUCCUUCAUCUCCAUCUCCAUUCUGGUUUAAAGCAUCAAGCAUGAGGGUUUCACCGUCUUCUCCCUCUCUUCGCAUUGCCUCUCAAACAUCUUCAUCCAAGAUUAGAUCACCGAUGAUAGCAGAUUCUCUACAAACACAAAUCAGUUGUUGAUAAACAAUGAAUUUUAGGGAUAAUAAUAAAGAUGAAAGGUCCGAUAGAGAUCUUUGAAACCGUUUCUUCAUACCGGCAGUUGGUUGUUCGUUUCUUUUCAGUGUAUCUUUUGUUUUGAUGCUGAAGUUAAUAGAUUUGAUUAUGAUCUUAUAAAUUUUUGCAAUGUAUCAAGUCAUAUUGGUUCAGCACCUGUUUCUUCAAGGUUUUCAUUGAUCCCACUUCUUAACUGCAUUAGGCUGCUUUAUCAAGUCCACCUUUCUAAUGCCAAGAAAUCAUCUGCCACAACUGAAAUCAAACACAAGUUGGAUAAUGACAGCGGCAAGGACAUUUUUAAGUUGGGGAGAAAAGAUCUUCUUCCGAAAGUGAAGGGAACCAAAACAAAACAAUAAUUGGUGUUGUAUAUUGACCGAUGAGAGCGUGAAAAGAGAGACCGGAUUGAUGCAAACGUUGUCGUAUUGUUGCAGAGUACACCACUAUAGUGUUGCUAACAAUGGCAAACUUCAGUUUUACUAGGGGUUUAAUUUUGAUUAUUAAGACUGGGAGAUGAAGGUGAUUAUGCAUAUACCAUUACUGUGAGAUUCGCCGAUUAGCAAUGGAAGUUCGUUACCUGGUGUCGACAGGACAAAUCACUUCUUUGAAUGGAGAUUCAACUCAUAUUGAUGAUGACCAUGAGUUGAAGUAGGGUCUUCAACAAUUUUGUAAGGCCAACCCAUAUUCACUUAGGUCAUUGGGAGGCUGUCAUGAAAUUCGGUUGGUCGGUUUUGGGUUUUUCAGGAUUAGGUUUCGACAUUGACGAGAUAAUACAAGCAUGGCAUGAACUGUAUGAAGUGAAAAGAUGGCAAAGUGGCGUUCGUCUUUUCGAUUAGCGCCAUUGUUUAGAAGACGAGUUUUGGUUAUUGGUUCAAAGAAAAAAGUAUUGUGGAUGAAAUUUAAUAUAAGGGUGAACACAACAUACAUGUUUUGGAGAACAGUUAGAUGAAUAUAUCCGGGUCGCUAGCUUGGGAAGUGGGACUCAACAUACACAAACGUAUAUAACAUUUAUAAUAUGGUUUUUUUAUUUUUUUUUUAUUUUUAUUUUUAUUUUAUUUUUUUUAUAGAGGGAACUCAAUUUACUAAGAGAAAGGUUUUGGUAACUCGAAGGAUAUGCAUCUUCAAAAGGACUCGACUAUCUUUAAAUUGUAUAUCCACUCUAUCACUAAUUUAUGCAACAUCGGACUUUGUAUUUUAUUUUAUUUAUGCACUUGAUAUUUAUUUUAA